GACACAGCCGCCCAGAAACGGGCGGCCAUGUUGAGGAAGAAGAAACGGCCGCAGGAGCAGAAGCGGGGACCGGGGAGGGCAGAAGGAGGAGCAGAGGCGGCAGCGGCAGAGAGGGGAAAACCCCGGAAGCCAGAGAAGCGGCGGGGGCAGGACCGGGCGUGCCAGGAGAACGGACCGGGAGACCCACACCUGCCUGGGAGUAAAUAUAUCCAUUGAACCCAGCCACACAACAGACAAAAGGAGCCUGAAGUGAAGGGGCGAGGUUUACCCUUUAUUUGCUGCAGCCUUCCCCCCCCCCCCGACCGUUCCUCGGCCCGCCAUGCCCCAGUUCUUCUGGCCAGUGUAGCCGGGUGGACGCGCCGUGCCCCUGAAGCUGAGACGCCGUGCCGUGCUCGCUUUUCCCGCUCCCACUCCCUGACUCACUAGCACACCACGCUCUUUGUUCAGGAUCGGAGGUGGCCAGCUGACGGAGAAACAGCCGCAGGAGCAGAAGCGGGGACCAGGGAAGGCAGAAGGAGGAGCAGAAGUGAGAACCAGCACAUAAUGGCGGCAGCAGCCCGAAAACCAAACAAGAAAAGUUAAAUGAAACACUAAAGAGAGACUAAUCCUCAGGGAGGGGAAGGGUGAGAACUGACCGGCAGCAGCUUCUCCCGCCUUCCCUCCUCUUGACUGGCUGAUGAAAUGCUCGGGCUCAGCCCAGCCCCGCUUCAGCCUGAUUGACAGUCUGGGCAGCGAGAGAGAUCAUGGCAGAUGCUCAGCGCCGGCAUCACUCUCAUUGCUGAGCCUGUCAGUCAGGCUGAGGGCAGGACGGGCUGAGCCUCAGCUAUACCUACUCAGGCAGUCACGGCGAAGCGAGGGCUGGCCAGGCACUUUCUGUGGAGCCAAUGCCACCAAUGUGGGAGGUUUGCUUAGUUUGCCCGAUUUCAGGACAAAUCCAGAGAAAUCACCCACCCUUUGGUCUGAUUCUAGGCAGUUCACGGGUUCAUAUAUUGCAGCAGUGCCACUGUCUUAGGCUAAACAGUCAUCACAGUGAAGUCCUCUUGAACAGAGUAGAAGCAUGCACUUUAUAAGAACUGGAGUUUUCUGGACUUCAGCAGGGCGUACUGGAUACAAGAACUAGCUCAUCAUAGACUAAGAGAGAAAAGAAAGAGAAAGAAAGGAAAAGGACAAAAGAAACAAGGAGGGAGGGAGGGAAACCAGAAAAGAGAGAAGGAAGGAAGGAAGAAGAAAGAAAAAGGAGAAAGGAGUGAGGGAGAAGGACAAAAGAGAGAGAGAGAGGGAGGGAGGAGCAGCCAGCCCCAAAGAACAAGCCCGUUAAAGAAAGAAAAGAAGAAAAAAGAAAGAAUCCAGAAAGAUGGGAGUGAGAAGAGGUGGAAGAAAGGAAGAAAAGGAGAGAGAGGGAGAGGGAGAGAGAGAGAGAAGAAAGGAAGGGAAGGAAACAGAGGAAGAGAGAGAGAAAAGGAAGGAGUGAAAGAGAGAGAGAUAAAAAGAAAAAAGGAAAGAAGGGCGAAAGAGAGGGAGAAGGAAUAAAGGAAACAAAAACAACAAAAAAAGGUACUAGCGCCCGUUAUUUUAACGGGCUUAAAAAUACUAGUGAAAACAUAAUAACACAGUGAAAGCUUGAACGUAUUGCAAUGCUGUCACCUAUUCUCCAUCUCUAGGAUUGUAGACCUUGUCAAAAAUCCCAAUGAGCGUUCAUCCCAGAUGGUACUGGCCACCCCAGAUGGCAGAUGCAGAAGGAUAGCACAAACCAGAGUACACCUUCUUUCUAGGAGAGCUGGUAACCCCGGAGACCAACCUGGCUGCUGCAUUCUGUAUCAGCUGCAGUUUCUGGACUACGUACAAAGGCAGCCCAACGUAGAGCACAUUGCAAUAGUCAAGUCUGGAUGUUACCAGCAGAUGCACCACCGUUUUAAGGUCGUUUCAUCUCACGAAAUGGAUGUAGCUGGAGUAUCAGCCAAAGUUGAUAGUAAGCCCUCCUGGCCACUGCCUCUACCUGAAAGACUAGGGAGGGGUUUGAGUCCAGAAGUACUCCCAGACCAUAUAAUUGUAAACCGCCCUGAGCCAUUUUGGAAGGGCGGUAUAUCAAUCAAUCAAUCAAUCAAUCAAUCAAUCAAUCAAUCAACUAACUAACACACACAGGAAUAAUAUGGUCUCUGGCUGCCACAUUCUGUACCAACUGCAGUUUCCGGACUAUGUACAAAGGUAGCCCCACAUAGAGCACAUUGCAAAAGUCCAGUCCAGCGGUCAUUCAUCACAAGAAACGGAUGCAGCUGGCAUAUCAGCCGAAGCUGACAGAAAGCCCCUCUCUCCACUGCCUCAACCUGGGACACCAGGGAGAGGUUUGGAUCCAGAAGUACCCUCAGACUGUGUACCUGUUCCUUCUGGGGGAGCGUGACCCCAUCCAGAACUGGCAGAUCAAAAUCGUCUCCCAUAUCCCAAUCCCACACAAUAAAUACCUCUGUCUUAUCUGGA
Long non-coding RNA from Hemicordylus capensis (graceful crag lizard), 2475 nucleotides. RefSeq lists it as uncharacterized. The record is from RefSeq and is a predicted model, not a curated record. The transcript has 2 exons. NCBI's taxonomy places the organism in Eukaryota, Metazoa, Chordata, Lepidosauria, Squamata, Cordylidae.